RNAcentral lists this long non-coding RNA (433 nucleotides) under Vitis vinifera (wine grape). Its description in RNAcentral is "long non-coding RNA (VVIN_LNC008257)". Lineage: Eukaryota; Viridiplantae; Streptophyta; Magnoliopsida; Vitales; Vitaceae. The record is from RNAcentral.
AUGGAAGAUGGUUUUGGCUAGAGGAGGUGAGUAGUGUGAGAAGUGAACGGUGAUGGGUAUAGUGAUGGCAAGAUAGAUUAGAGAUAUGAGUAGCGAGUUUGAGGGGUAGUAAAGGAUGGAGGUGCAGGUACUAUGGAUUAAGGUCGUGGGUAGAUGGAUAUGGGGGGACCAUUGAAGGUGAUGGUGUGCAUGUCAUCAGUGAAACAGAUGGUGGGAAAUAAUGGGAAGUGGGUUUGGUAGUCAUGAAAAAUGGGUUUCAAGAGAAAGCUUUGGAAGGAUGUUAAGGGGUCAUGCAUAUGCAGAGGAUUGAAAAGAAAUGAAUGGGGAAUGAAUGGUGGGGUGAGUGAUGGAAAUUAGUGGGAUUAAUGGGUAUUAUGGGUAUGGAAAGAGGAAAAGGGGUAGUGGGAUGGGUAUUGGAUACAGGCAGCGAGCA